AUCAUCAAAUGAGUGAUUGGAUGUAUAUCAUUUGCCUCAUUAAAAUCCUUGUCAAGAAAACCCAUUGGGACAAAACUUGACAAGGGGAAAGGAGUACAAAUAAGACACAUGCCCAUGUGAUGAUCAU
This 127-nucleotide small RNA is filed under the name Arabidopsis thaliana (thale cress). Its description in RNAcentral is "ATSL266770". Lineage: Eukaryota; Viridiplantae; Streptophyta; Magnoliopsida; Brassicales; Brassicaceae. The record is from RNAcentral.